RNAcentral lists this ribosomal RNA (253 nucleotides) under uncultured bacterium. RNAcentral's name for it is "partial 16S ribosomal RNA". It matches the Rfam family "Bacterial small subunit ribosomal RNA", at positions 524 to 776 of the family's 1533-position model. The record is from RNAcentral.
UACGAAGGGGGCUAGCGUUGCUCGGAAUCACUGGGCGUAAAGGGCGCGUAGGCGGCGUUUUUAAGUCGGGGGUGAAAGCCUGUGGCUCAACCACAGAAUGGCCUCGAUACUGGGACGCUUGAGUAUGGUAGAGGUUGGUGGAACUGCGAGUGUAGAGGUGAAAUUCGUAGAUAUUCGCAAGAACACCAGUGGCGAAGGCGACUUACUGGACACAUAUUGACGCUGAGGUGCGAAAGCGUGGGGAGCAAACAGG